AAUCAACGCUGGCGGCGUGCCUCAGACAUGCAAGUCGAACGCGAAAGGCCCCUUCGGGGGCCCGGUAGAGUGGCGCACGGGUGAGUAACACGUAGGUAAUUUGCCUUCGGGUGGGGAAGUAACAGCCGGAAACGGCUGCUAAUACCGCAUAAUGCAGCGGCUCGACAUCGAGACAGUUGUUAAAGCGGGGGAUCGCAAGACCUCGCGCCUGAAGAGAAGCCUGCGGCAGAUAGUCUUGUUGGUGAGGUAAUGGCUCACCAAGGCGACGAUCUGUAACCGGCCUGAGAGGGCGGUCGGUCACACUGACACUGACAUACGGGUCAGACUCCUACGGGAGGCAGCAGUCGGGAA
Molecule: ribosomal RNA, 351 nt
Filed under: uncultured bacterium
Lineage: Bacteria
Description: bacterial SSU rRNA
Rfam family: Bacterial small subunit ribosomal RNA
Source: RNAcentral